RNAcentral lists this long non-coding RNA (261 nucleotides) under Carica papaya (papaya). RNAcentral describes it as "long non-coding RNA (CPAP_LNC006532)". Lineage: Eukaryota; Viridiplantae; Streptophyta; Magnoliopsida; Brassicales; Caricaceae. The record is from RNAcentral.
UAAGUAGAAUAAUUAGCUAUUAUUUCCUCUAACUUAAUCGGUAUAAGGACAUUUACAUAUGAACCUAAUCUAAGGCAUUACACUUGUGACAUAAAAAAUGUGAGUUUGAUUUUUUACCUUUUAGCUAAUCAUAAACUAAGGUUUAAAUGAAUAAGACAAAGUAGCUAGCAUGUGAUGGGUGAGAGGGAGCGUAAAAUGCACUCACUCGUAAAAAUAUUUUUAGGUAAAAGUGUAAGAUGGAGCAUAAAAUGCACUCACCAU